CCGAUAUUUUUAUGUGUAAAACGUGGUGAAUUCGCGAAAAAAAGUGCGGUAUUAAUGGAAAUAAUCGUGAUUAUUUAGUGUUAAUUAACCCUUCGUGUAUUAUAAUUUCCAUCUAGUGCGAAAAUCUAACCACUUCGAGUGUGAAAACCCCUCGAGUUAGAGUAAGAUAGCUACCCCUUUCGUUCGCUACUCCUUCGGUUUCAUUGUGCCAGUUUCGCAGGGAAAAUUGCGGUGAAUUCGGGUAAAUUGCGAGUAACUUCGGGAUAUUGUGAUAUUUUAGUGUUAAUUACAUCCAGAAUUUCAUAUAAUUUCCAACCAGAGUGAAAUUUGAACCUGUAUGAACGAUUGUAUUGAGUUGGAGUAAAUGGUACACUGGUACACUCAUUCCUUCUGCGGCUCUCCAGUCUCCGGUGACCAUUUCGGCGGUUUUUUUGGUUCUUUCACAUAUGAGAGACGACCUGUCAACGUUCUGAGCCAGGUGCGUUGCAUCUCCAACUCCAGCUUCUGUCUGCAGCACCCACAUCACUCGGCUCUCGGAUGGGUUUCUUUUGAAAUGCACACAUUUCGGUUACAGGUGGAGCUGGAGGUGUUGAAGAGAAAAGGCAAUUGAAGCUUUUGUCCAUUCAGGUGUGACCGGUAUCCUGGACGUGGACUUUUGGACAUUACGGCUAUACGAAUAUAUAUACGGACAAUUCACCGAAGAAGACGGUUAAAAAGUCGAGGAAUUAAAACGAAAUCAGUGUAAAAGAAUAGAACAGGCACCCUGGCAACAAGAGAAAGACGUCGAGCUGUUCCAGGGAGGUAUGUAUGCACAAUUCACUGUCUACUGUUUUGGAAUCAGAAGUCAUGCAGGCUUGAAGUUGAGAAUUGAAUCAAAUCAACAUUUAGUAAAACGCCUCAUGGAAGUUUGAGGAAUGAACGAUUCAAUGAACAAAGCUUUGGAAUCAGAGCUUUGCAACACUGGAUGUUGACCAGAGGACGACCUAGUAUAUUGUGAUAGAAAGGUCCUCAUCAUUACUCUUGUUUUCUUGGUAAAUGCUCUAAAUCGCAUAUAAUGAGAGAAAGCUGGUGUAAAAUUGAGCAGUAAAA
Molecule: long non-coding RNA, 1089 nt
Organism: Planococcus citri (citrus mealybug)
Lineage: Eukaryota; Metazoa; Arthropoda; Insecta; Hemiptera; Pseudococcidae
Exons: 5
Source: RefSeq, a predicted model, not a curated record